Molecule: ribosomal RNA, 114 nt
Filed under: Dickeya solani
Lineage: Bacteria; Pseudomonadati; Pseudomonadota; Gammaproteobacteria; Enterobacterales; Pectobacteriaceae
Also listed under: 1 other name
Source: RNAcentral
CCUGGCGGCGAGAGCGCGGUGGUCCCACCUGACCCCAUGCCGAACUCAGAAGUGAAACGCCGUAGCGCCGAUGGUAGUGUGGGGUCUCCCCAUGCGAGAGUAGGGAACUGCCAG